UUGGUGCCUUCGGGAACUCUGAGACAGGUGCUGCAUGGCUGUCGUCAGCUCGUGUUGUGAAAUGUUGGGUUAAGUCCCGCAACGAGCGCAACCCUUAUCCUUUGUUGCCAGCGGUCCGGCCGGGAACUCAAAGGAGACUGCCAGUGAUAAACUGGAGGAAGGUGGGGAUGACGUCAAGUCAUCAUGGCCCUUACGAGUAGGGCUACACACGUGCUACAAUGGCGCAUACAAAGAGAAGCGACCUCGCGAGAGCAAGCGGACCUCAUAAAGUGCGUCGUAGUCCGGAUUGGAGUCUGCAACUCGACUCCAUGAAGUCGGAAUCGCUAGUAAAUCGUGGAUCAGAAUGCCACGGUGAAUACGUUCCCGGGCCUUGUACACACCGCCCGUCACACCAUGGGAGUGGGUUGCAAAAGAAGUAGGUAGCUUAACCUUCGGGAGGGCGCUUACCACUUUGUGAUUCAUGACUGGGGUGAAGUCGUAACAAGGUAACCGUAGGGGAACCUGCGGUUGGAUCACCUCCUUACCUUAAAAAA
Molecule: ribosomal RNA, 533 nt
Filed under: Enterobacter hormaechei
Lineage: Bacteria; Pseudomonadati; Pseudomonadota; Gammaproteobacteria; Enterobacterales; Enterobacteriaceae
Description: bacterial SSU rRNA
Rfam family: Bacterial small subunit ribosomal RNA
Source: RNAcentral